GAAAUAAUUCACACAGAGGUGUGUAACUAAAGUCAAUCCUGUCAUCCUGUUUCAGAUCUACUUUGAUUUAGUGUCACUGCUCCACUGAAUGAGUCGCUGAGCUUCAGCUGACAUUUAACCUGUGAGACUGACUGAUAGACGUGGUACUGGACAAUCCUUGUACUGGAUUGUUAGCAUUAGGGUUGAGGUCUAUGCGCAUUCCUGCAAGUCUGUAUUUAUAUAACAGGUAAUGAGAUCCUAACGCAGGACUGUGUGUGCUGUAGUUUAGCUUUGGUUUUCCUCUUUGCUGCCUUUCAAAUUCAUUCCUAAACAAUAUUUCUUACAACUGGCUACGUUUAACCUUCAUACAGUGACCAGUCAUGGGAAAACCUUAACAGUGUGGGAGCUCAGAUUACGUCUGCCGUGUUUCAUGAGGCAGAGCUGGUUGUCUGCAGAGCACAAGGUGUUUGGCUUUCUUAAUUCAGUGUAAUUGAUUGGCAAAGAAUACCACAUUGAUUCAGUCACUCAGCCUGCCUGUGUCUGACACAGGAGUAAUAGCCACUCGACAUUUUCAUCUGCCAAAAUAAUGCCUUUUUUUUUCAGAGUCAGGUUGAACCCUUUAUCAUAUUGAAGAAGGUGGAGAGGAGGCACGGGAACAGCUAAUGAGGUCAAAGAGUUCAAAUGCUGGGUCACGCAAACACUGUUGAGCAGGUUAAAGGAGCUGUCCACAGAAGUGUGUGGCACCUUUUUCUUCUGUCAUGUGACAUCCUCACACAGAGAGUGGAGCAGGCUAAACAGCAGCAGUCUGGCAAACGGGGGUGAUUCAGACGAGCAGAUGAACACAGUUAUGCAUGGACAAAUCCCAUGUUUGCUGGGUAGGUUUGACCAGCCAGCUGCCUGCAUGAUGAUGUGAGCCUUUAAUGUUCAUCCAAACUUGUUUUUUUUAAUCAACUUUGAAAGUUUUUUCUAGUGAAUAUCUAUCUAUUAGCUAUUAUUAUCUAAUAAUAUAAUAUUAUUAUAUAAUAUUAUUUAAUAAUAUUGAAACUAUGAUACAUCCUGUGAAAAAAGAUGCUGCAGUUAUUUUAAAAAAUGCUUUAAUUAGUUUCAAAUGAGAUUUUUGUGUUGAUCUCUCCCACACUCAUGAAGUUAUGAGGCCUCAGAAAUACUAAAAUCAUAAAUCAAACUUUAAGUCGGCCUUUUUAUUUACAGCAAGGUUUAUGAUAAGAAUGUAAAAAUGUGCUUGGCUGCAUUAUAUGGAUCAUAAUGUAUGUAAAUUUAGUGAAGUCUACCAAACAAGAGAGCAGCUGGUUCAAGUCCAGCCCUGAAUAAUAUUUCUUGAACUUGUGGCAACAUUUAGUAUAAGUCAACAGAACCGGCUCUGAGCUGCUUAUAUUUAAUUUUAAUUUCAAAUCAAAGCCACAUAAAACAUUUUAGACACUUGAGAUUAAAAGUGUUUGUCACGCCCUGCUCUGACUGAGCUCUUUGUAGAGGUUAGGUCACAAGUUGGCCUAAUUUUGGUACAUUAUAACAGUGCGUGCAAAAUAGCAUACCGC
Long non-coding RNA from Oreochromis aureus, 1532 nucleotides. The record is from Ensembl. NCBI's taxonomy places the organism in Eukaryota, Metazoa, Chordata, Actinopteri, Cichliformes, Cichlidae.